This 279-nucleotide ribosomal RNA is filed under the name uncultured bacterium. RNAcentral describes it as "partial 16S ribosomal RNA". It matches the Rfam family "Bacterial small subunit ribosomal RNA", at positions 506 to 784 of the family's 1533-position model. The record is from RNAcentral.
UGCCAGCAGCCGCGGUAAUACAGAGGGUGCAAGCGUUAAUCGGAAUUACUGGGCGUAAAGCGCGCGUAGGUGGUUUAUUAAGUCGGAUGUGAACGCCCUGGGCUCAACCUGGGAACUGCGUUCGAAACUGGUAAGCUAGAGUAUGGUAGAGGGAAGUGGAAUUUCCGGUGUAGCGGUGAAAUGCGUAGAUAUCGGAAGGAACACCAGUGGCGAAGGCGGCUUCCUGGGCCAAUACUGACGCUGAGGUGCGAAAGCGUGGGGAGCAAACAGGAUUAGAUA